Molecule: transfer RNA, 83 nt
Filed under: Schistocephalus solidus
Lineage: Eukaryota; Metazoa; Platyhelminthes; Cestoda; Diphyllobothriidea; Diphyllobothriidae
Rfam family: tRNA
About the family: Transfer RNA (tRNA) molecules are approximately 80 nucleotides in length. Their secondary structure includes four short double-helical elements and three loops (D, anti-codon, and T loops).
Source: Rfam by way of RNAcentral
GGCCUCGUAGCUCAGGUGGCUAGACUGUCGGCUGUAGUAAUGUGUUCCCUUUGUUGGUGUGGGUUCGAAUCCCACCGAGGCCA